Molecule: transfer RNA, 67 nt
Filed under: marine eukaryotic metagenome
Rfam family: tRNA
About the family: Transfer RNA (tRNA) molecules are approximately 80 nucleotides in length.
Source: RNAcentral
AGUGUAGCUCAACUGGCAGAGCACCGGUCUCCAAAACCGGGGGUUGAGGGUUCAAGUCCUUCCACUC